Molecule: ribosomal RNA, 492 nt
Filed under: uncultured bacterium
Lineage: Bacteria
Description: partial 16S ribosomal RNA
Rfam family: Bacterial small subunit ribosomal RNA
Source: RNAcentral
AGUGAACGCUGGCGGUAGGCCUAACACAUGCCAGUCGAACGGCAGCACAGUAAGAGCUUGUUCUUACGGGUGGCGAGUGGCGGACGGGUGAGGAAUACAUCGGAAUCUACUUUUUCGUGGGGGAUAACGUAGGGAAACUUACGCUAAUACCGCAUACGACCUACGGGUGAAAGCAGGGGAUCUUCGGACCUUGCGCGAUUGAAUGAGCCGAUGUCGGAUUAGCUAGUUGGCGGGGUAAAGGCCCACCAAGGCGACGAUCCGUAGCUGGUCUGAGAGGAUGAUCAGCCACACUGGAACUGAGACACGGUCCAGACUCCUACGGGAGGCAGCAGUGGGGAAUAUUGGACAAUGGGCGCAAGCCUGAUCCAGCCAUACCGCGUGGGUGAAGAAGGCCUUCGGGUUGUAAAGCCCUUUUGUUGGGAAAGAAAAGCAGCAGGUUAAUACCCCGCUGUCCUGACGGUACCCAAAGAAUAAGCACCGGCUAACUUCGUG